GGUGUUAAAUUUUAACAGUGUCAUAUCGGAUGUUCGGAAGCUAAUUAGGAGAACUAAACGUGAGCUAAUUAUAAAACUAAUUGCAGAACCAUGUGCUAAUUCGCGAGAUGAAUCUGUUAAGCCUAAUUAAUCCAUCAUUAGCAAAUGGUUACUGUAGCACAACAUUGUCAAAUCAUGGACUAAUUAGGCUUAAUAGAUUCGUCUCGCGAAUUACACUCCAUCUGUGCAAUUAGUUUUUUGUAAUCAACCUAUAUGUAAUACUCCUAAUUAGCAUCCAAACAUCUGAUGUGACGGGUGGUAAAUUUUAACACCUUAUUG
This 318-nucleotide long non-coding RNA is filed under the name Setaria viridis. RNAcentral describes it as "long non-coding RNA (SVIR_LNC004528)". Lineage: Eukaryota; Viridiplantae; Streptophyta; Magnoliopsida; Poales; Poaceae. The record is from RNAcentral.